This is a long non-coding RNA of Panicum virgatum (switchgrass), 934 nucleotides long. RefSeq lists it as uncharacterized. NCBI's taxonomy places the organism in Eukaryota, Viridiplantae, Streptophyta, Magnoliopsida, Poales, Poaceae. The transcript has 6 exons. The record is from RefSeq and is a predicted model, not a curated record.
CAUGGGCUCGGCGGCGCGCGCAGCAGUGGAGGCACGGGUAGCGGCAGCGGCGGCGUGCGCUGCGGCCGCGGCAGCGGCGUGGGCUCAGCAGUGCGAGUAGCGGCUGUGGCGGCGUGAGCCGCGAGGCCGCAACUUCUCUUCCCCGCGCCGUCUCCGUCGUAGCGUUAUCACUCCUCGUGGAUGAAGCGAUGUAGGCAUGGAUGGCGUCCGCGAAGGAUGCGACUGGAUCUGCAAUGGAGAACCUGGUGGUUGCACAGAUUAUACAAGAAAAACUAGAUGGAGGUGGCCUCCCUAUUAUUGUUGGCGGCACAAAUUUCUACAUCCAGGCUGCCAGGCAUUCCAGCCCUUCUCCAUUUAAUAGGCCAAGGGUUAAAGCAUAGAGAAGAGGAUGAUAUGGAGAACUGUCCGUAUGUCAUCUGGAAAAAGAGGGGAGAUGAAAGAAUAUGAUGCAUAGCAGCGGAGAUGUGCAAGUUUCAUGGGCCAAAUAAUGUUCUGUCGACCAGAAAUGCAGAGCUCUAGCCGAAAUGCGGAGUGCUUUGUCGGUUAAUCUGCUGGUGUACGGCUUCUGAGGAGGUGAAGAUGUUGCAUCAGAGAUGCUUGCUGACAAGGUGCACACAAGUCUUUUUUUGCAAGUACUGAUACUAGGAUCUGUGUGGAAUGCAUGAACUUAGUAGUCACAUAGAUUUGAUUGUCAUUUAAAAACAUCCAUUUGUAGCCUGUAAAAUAGAUUUGUGCUUUGUAGCCUGUAAAAUAGAUUUGUGCUUUGAACGGCCAUUUGCUUCUUUUGUAUUGCACAUCAACAUCAUACAGAGAAGGCUGAGAGGUGAUUGUAUGGACUCUUUUGUUUAAUCUCGAUGUAUGAGCUCAUAUGGUUGAAUUCUGCUGCUAUAAUUAUAUAUUAUAUAUGUUGUACAAAUGAUGCAAUAUUAUUAUA